Molecule: transfer RNA, 63 nt
Filed under: Phocaeicola vulgatus
Lineage: Bacteria; Pseudomonadati; Bacteroidota; Bacteroidia; Bacteroidales; Bacteroidaceae
Description: Bacteroides vulgatus tRNA-Val
Rfam family: tRNA
About the family: Transfer RNA (tRNA) molecules are approximately 80 nucleotides in length. Their secondary structure includes four short double-helical elements and three loops (D, anti-codon, and T loops). Further hydrogen bonds mediate the characteristic L-shaped molecular structure. tRNAs have two regions of fundamental functional importance: the anti-codon, which is responsible for specific mRNA codon recognition, and the 3' end, to which the tRNAs corresponding amino acid is attached (by aminoacyl-tRNA synthetases). tRNAs cope with the degeneracy of the genetic code in two manners: having more than one tRNA (with a specific anti-codon) for a particular amino acid; and 'wobble' base-pairing, i.e. permitting non-standard base-pairing at the 3rd anti-codon position.
Source: RNAcentral
CAGCUGGUUCAGAGCAUCUGCCUUACAAGCAGAGGGUCGGCGGUUCGAAUCCGUCAACGCCCA